AACGAACGCUGGCGGCAUGCCUAACACAUGCAAGUCGAACGAGACCUUCGGGUCUAGUGGCGCACGGGUGCGUAACGCGUGGGAACCUGCCCUUAGGUUCGGAAUAACUCCCCGAAAGGGGUGCUAAUACCGGAUAAUGUCUUCGGACCAAAGAUUUAUCGCCUUUGGAUGGGCCCGCGUUGGAUUAGCUAGUUGGUAGGGUAAAAGCCUACCAAGGCGACGAUCCAUAGCUGGUCUGAGAGGAUGAUCAGCCACACUGGGACUGAGACACGGCCCAGACUACUACGGGAGGAAGCAGUGGGGAAUAUUGGACAAUGGGCGAAAGCCUGAUCCAGCAAUGCCGCGGGAAUGAUGAAGGCCUUAGGGUUGGAAAGCUCUCUUACCAGGGAUGAUAAUGACAGUACCGGGAGAAUACGCUCCGGCUAACUCCGUG
This 433-nucleotide ribosomal RNA is filed under the name uncultured bacterium. Its description in RNAcentral is "partial 16S ribosomal RNA". It matches the Rfam family "Bacterial small subunit ribosomal RNA", at positions 29 to 507 of the family's 1533-position model. The record is from RNAcentral.